Molecule: ribosomal RNA, 440 nt
Filed under: uncultured bacterium
Lineage: Bacteria
Description: partial 16S ribosomal RNA
Rfam family: Bacterial small subunit ribosomal RNA
Source: RNAcentral
CCUACGGGCGGCAGCAGUGGGGAAUAUUGCACAAUGGGGGAAACCCUGAUGCAGCGACGCCGCGUGAGUGAAGAAGGAUUUCGGUAUGUAAAGCUCUAUCAGCAGGGAAGAAAAUGACGGUACCUGAUUAAGAAGCCCCGGCUAACUACGUGCCAGCAGCCGCGGUAAUACGGAGGGGGCAAGCGUUAUCCGGAUUUACUGGGUGUAAAGGGAGCGUAGACGGCAGCACAAGUCUGGAGUGAAAUGCCGGGGCUUAACCCCGGAACUGCUUUGGAAACUGUGCAGCUAGAGUGCAGGAGAGGUAAGUGGAAUUCCUAGUGUAGCGGUGAAAUGCGUAGAUAUUAGGAGGAACACCAGUGGCGAAGGCGGCUUACUGGACUGUAACUGACGUUGAGGCUCGAAAGCGUGGGGAGCGAACGGGAUUAGAUACCCCUGUAGUC